AUGUACAUCUAAUAUUCCUGCCAUAGCAAAAAGUAGGAAAAGGCUAUUGUUUUCCCCAAAUCACGCCGACAACAAAAUCCCCUUUCUUUACUGUACUGUUGUCUUUACGCGGUUGAGAUUUUGGUAGGGUGGGCAGGGGAGAUCCGAGCAGGACGCAUCGUGCUGCUCGACAUCUUCAUCGCCGGCGCGGCCGGGGCGAUGGUGCUGCAGGUUGGUGGUGUGGAGGAGGCAGUGACUGACCUGACGAAGGGUGCACAGGUUCGCAGAUUUCCCAGCGAUUUGGUGUGUGCCGAUCUUCCAAGCCAUUCUGACCGAGGAGGGGACCGGGUGUUUAAGCAGCUGUUCUUGCUCCGGCCACCAGUGAGAUCGCAUCUUGUCGUCGCUGAUAAGGAAAGGCGGAUGCCGGUCGCCUGGGAGGUCACAGGUGCUGGCAGAGAGCUUUGGCGUUGCAUAGAAUGGCCUCUCGUUCCUUGUCGCUUAGGUUGAUGAAGAACGACAGAUUUCCCAUCCAAUGAGUGGUGAGAGAUCUCAUGGAGGAUGGAGUACCGGUUCAUGGAUUUCAUGGACAAAAUUGUUCUACUGGGUCAAGCUGUUGGUGCCAGGGCAUCAAUGCCAAGGUGGCAUAGGACAGAAAAUAAUUGUUGACCAAGGCAAGCUAAUGGAGAAUAACUGGAUCCUAAGGCACUGUACAUAUGGUGGACUACUGUUAUGGUCUAUUAGAGGUGUGGGGGUAACAGAGGCAGAUUCAUACGAGGAGAUAGCAAAAUAAAUGAAUAGUACCAAGAUGUGAGCAACAUGUUUGGCCAACCACUGUGUUGUUGCCCUCCUCAUCGUCGAUGUUGUUGGACUUCUACCACAUUAACAAUGGAUAUUAUUUUACCGCGCCCAAGAUUCGAGUAUUCAUCUUCAUGCCUUCCUAAUUGUUUGUACUGCUGGACUUUUACCACUGUAAGUGUUAUUGCUCUGUAUCCUUCCUAAUGCAAAUCAUCUUUGUGCUCCUUCCUAAGAUUUCUAUAUUACUCGUACUAUAAUAUUGGAAUUUUUCUCAUGGUACGCUUGAAUAGAAAAUGCAGCAUGAUAGUAGAACUGUUACCAAGAACAUAGAACUCCCAAAAGUGUAUGUCUAACUGUAUUUCAAAUAAAUACAAUAUGACAUGCUUUUCAUAGUGUUAAUGUCUCCUUAUAUUGGUUGAUCUGAAGAAAGUAUUCAGUCUAUUCUAGACUAAGGACAUAAUGCUAUUGCAGUAUAAUAAGUUUUUUUUCUUAUCCUAGUAGAUGUCAAGUACACUUACUAUAUAUAUCUUGGUAAGUAAAAUAUGUUGCCCUAUUAUUUAUCUGAUAAGCUACCGAUGCACUAAUUUUAUAGAUAACUUCCUCGCUCUCCUAGGCUUCUGUUUCCGUACUUCAUCUUCAUCUUCAAGCCUUGUAUUGUUUCGGCUGACAUCUUUUCCCUUGCUUUCUGGCAAACAUGCUCCGUGCAUUCUCCUCUGAUUCAUCUGAUAUUACAACAUAUCCCGGUCUUCUUUUCUUGUCAUCGUGGAACUCACGUGACGAUGAUGUUAUUUUGUCUUGAUGCCCAUCUUUGUUUAUUUUAGUCCCAUUACUAUCGUGUGGUUCCUAUUUCAUUGGCACCAGACACAUUGUAAUUUGGUAGUUGAAACAUUAUUAUUCUAUGACUGCAAAAUAAAUAUAAAUUUAAAAUCAAACACAUUUAUAAAAAUCUAGAAGUGUCUACAGUGGAAAAAUCAAUCACCAUUUUAUCGGUGCAUGUUCUGUGUCUUCCUUUCAUGUUUUAAGACAGUGUCCACCUCAUCAUCCAUCAAUUUCAAUGCAAUAUAUGUAAGAUGAAUUAGUUAGGGAAUUCUAGACACAAUACUUAUUUUUUGAAGAAAAAAAGUUAAAUGCACCUUUACCUCAGCUUUAUCAUUCAAGUAGAGCAUCUCAAGCCUAUCAUUGGGCACAAAUGUUCUUUUUACUACAUAAUUUUCUGUGCCAAAGAUGAUAUUACAUCCAUUCAACUUGGCAUUUCAUUUCCCAUCGAAUGAUCUCAGCAAGUUAGAGAUAGAUGUAUUAAGCAAUCUUGGAGCGUCCUUUUCAAAUAAAGUGCAGCUUGUAGUAGUUUUAUGCUCACUAAUUUGGAGUCGAAUACAAUACCUACCACACCAUUCAUGUUAGCGAAUCAUAAAUAUUAUAUAAUACUCCAGUUAUUUCUGAACUAUAAACAUACCUGAUCAUUGUUUUUCUUUUUCUGCCUGUUCCUAUAGUGUAUCCUUCAUAGAAACUCAAAGUAAUAAUCUGGGUAAACCUCUGGAGAUCCUUUUCCCUCCUGUAUGUUUGCUUUGUAUGAAAAAUAUAUUUCACUUACAUUGCUCAUUGGCGGUAUUUUUAUGGAUUCCACAACCUUGAAACUUUGAAUCCAUAAAUAGAUUGCUCUUUGAUAUGAAAGAUAGCAUGAAUUGUUUGGCCCUAUGAAUAAUGAGAUAUACUUAGUAUUUUUCAUUGAGAAGAUAGAACAAUUUAAAAAAUAGCUAUUAUAGGUCAAAUACAAAUAAGUGAUGCUAUAACUUAAUUAUAGUAAUGUACAUGAAAAUAGGUUGUUCUUAAAGAAGUUGUCAAAACUUUUUGAGAUGGAAAUAUCCAAACACACAUGGUUGUCCUAGUUUUUUUGGCGUGUGUUUGGAUUGAGGCUUUGCUCUGUUGGGCGUCGCAGCAUUGGGAGUGCAGAUUGGAUGCUUCAUUACCUGCAAUCCAUCGUGGGUGCAUAUUGUACGCUUCAGCACCUUCAAUUUGCCGACGUGACAGACGCAUAUUGAAUGCUUAAUGCUAUCAUGCUGGCUAGCAAUGGCUGCGUGUGUGUGUUUAUGCUGCUUGGGGGCUGGUCGUCGCAUAUGAUACGUGUAUUGAACAUUAUCAAAAUGAAAAUGAGAAUGGGCGCACGAGAGGAAUAUUGUGGAACAAUCCACUGGCUAACAAACUUGGCAUGGUGGAGGAUGGCCUAUCUUAUUCACCCAUCAAGGAGCUUGCUUUACUUUGACAAGGUUGUAUUGGUUGCACAUAUUUUGCAUCUGACCUCUUGCAUUACUUCUACUUUGUUACACCAUUUGCUUAGUUUAAGCAUCAUAUAUGAGUAUAUGUCAUACCUAUCCAUUUUUGUACCUAUUCCAUAUGUCGUCAUAUUGUGUUUUUCCAGUCAAAUUGUUCUUUCUAAUAGAUGUCCAAAAAGAAGAGGGUGAGUGCAGAUCCUCAAGGAGUACAAACUAGGUAUUUGAAAAAAGUAAGUGAUACAUGUUAAAUCAGAUAGAUCAGCAGCCACAGAAAACACAGUCCCAACUGUAUCACACUUCACCCCUACUCCACUGGCCAAACCCCUAUUAGAACCGCUAAGAGCCCAGCGGCAGGGAUUGUCUAUGAUAUAAAUUCAAAAUUUGAACUCCUAAAUUUUUGCAUGUGCCUUACCUUCUCUCUUGUAUGAAAACUAA
This is a long non-coding RNA of Triticum urartu, 3479 nucleotides long. RefSeq lists it as uncharacterized. The record is from RefSeq and is a predicted model, not a curated record. NCBI's taxonomy places the organism in Eukaryota, Viridiplantae, Streptophyta, Magnoliopsida, Poales, Poaceae.